This 463-nucleotide ribosomal RNA is filed under the name Madaglymbus sp. BI-2011. Its description in RNAcentral is "partial 16S ribosomal RNA". Lineage: Eukaryota; Metazoa; Arthropoda; Insecta; Coleoptera; Dytiscidae. The record is from RNAcentral.
AACAAAAACAUGUCCUUUUGUUUAUUUAUUUAAGGUUUAACCUGCCCACUGAAUUUAUUUUAAAUGGCCGCAGUAAUUUGACUGUGCAAAGGUAGCAUAAUCAUUAGUUUUUUAAUUGAAAGCUUGUAUGAAAGGUUGGACGAAGUAUAAUCUGUCUUUAUUUAAUUUAUUGUAGAAUUUAAUUUUUAAGUUAAAAAGCUUAAAUAUUAGUGAAAGACGAGAAGACCCUAUAAAUCUUUAUAUUUUUAUUAAAUUAUUUAAAUUAGGAUUUUUUAACUUAUAAUUUUAUAUAGUAUUUUAUUGGGGUAAUAAAAUGAUUAGAAUAAUUCAUUUUGGUUUUUUACAUUAAUUUAUGAUUUUAUGAUCCAUGUUUUUUGAUUAUAAGAUUAAGUUACUUUAGGGAUAACAGCGUAAUUUUUUUAAAGAGUUCAUAUCGAUAAGAAAGUUUGCGACCUCGAUGUUG